This 321-nucleotide ribosomal RNA is filed under the name uncultured eukaryote. RNAcentral's name for it is "partial 18S ribosomal RNA". It matches the Rfam family "Eukaryotic small subunit ribosomal RNA", at positions 1470 to 1796 of the family's 1831-position model. The record is from RNAcentral.
CCCUUAGAUGUUCUGGGCUGCACGCGCGCUACACUGAUACAGCCAAAGAGAUAUUUUUGCCUAUCGGCUGAGAGAAAUCUUGUGAAUCUGUAUCGUGAUGGGAACAAACGAUUGCAAUUAUUCGUUUCGAACGAGGAAUUCCUAGUAAGCGUGAGUCAUCAGCUCAUGCUGAUUACGUCCCUGCCCUUUGUACACACCGCCCGUCGCUCCUACCGAUUGAAUGUUCCGGUGAGCUCUUCGGACUGCGCGGUCUGCAGUUUCUGCGUUCCGUGCGGAAAGUUGCGCAAACCUUAACAUUUAGAGGAAGGAGAAGUCGUAACA